RNAcentral lists this ribosomal RNA (253 nucleotides) under uncultured bacterium. Its description in RNAcentral is "partial 16S ribosomal RNA". It matches the Rfam family "Bacterial small subunit ribosomal RNA", at positions 524 to 776 of the family's 1533-position model. The record is from RNAcentral.
UACGUAGGGUCCAAGCGUUGUCCGGAAUUAUUGGGCGUAAAGAGCUCGUAGGCGGUCCGCUAAGUCGGAAGUGAAAUCUCAAGGCUCAACCUUGAAACUGCUUUCGAUACUGGCGGACUUGAGGCAGGUAGGGGAAGGUGGAAUUCCUGGUGUAGCGGUGAAAUGCGCAGAUAUCAGGAGGAACACCAGUGGCGAAGGCGGCCUUCUGGGCCUGUUCUGACGCUGAGGAGCGAAAGCGUGGGGAGCAAACAGG